ACACAGUUGUUGACGGUGUAUGUGACUGUGUGAACGGCCAAGACAAGUGCCACCACAAGGCGUCUAUUCUUUUAUAUGGGUAUAGUGUUUUUAUUAAAGAAAAUAUAUAUGCACAUCUUGUCUAGUUCAUCUUUUCAGUUGAAUAAUAUAUGUAAUAAUCUUGAUAAUAAUUUACUUAGAUAUAAGAAUGUUAGCAACACAGACGUGAGAGCUUCUUGGAUUCAGCAUCCAAAGCGAGCUCCACCAUAACAGACCACUACAAUGGAAGAACUAUUUCCACCCCACCAAAUAUAGCCAAUUACAGCUAUGCUAUGGAUUGUAUCUAAAGAGCCUCCAUCUCCAACACUGGAUGUUCCAACUGUAGAAGACUUGCUGCUUGGGGAAGGCUACACAGGAGCUACGGACAAGAUAAAGUGGCUGAAGACGAAUCUUGCAAUCUCCAAAGAGAAAAUAGAGCAGGUUGCACAGAUGACCGCAGGACAAAGGAAUAACCACCUCUGGGCAUUGGUCAGAAAAAACUGUUUGACUGCAUCCAACUUUGGAAAAGUGCUAGCUGCCAUCAGACGAAACAGGUU
Magallana angulata is the source of this 575-nucleotide long non-coding RNA. RefSeq lists it as uncharacterized. The transcript has 3 exons. The record is from RefSeq and is a predicted model, not a curated record. Lineage: Eukaryota; Metazoa; Mollusca; Bivalvia; Ostreida; Ostreidae.